AAGGAAGGAAGGAAGGAAGGAAGGAAGGAAGGAAGGGGACAAUGGAGGCAGGAGUAACAGAGGGUUGGGUUGUCUAUUUGAGGCUGCCCACUGCUAAGCCUCGAGUUGAUUAAUGUAUCUGUGUUACAAGCUUUGUGAAUAAUUCUUCCAAGUGUUGGAGAGGAAGCGUGUGUGUCUCAGCUCUGUGAAGAAGGCUGCACAUUGUGUCAUCGGCUGUAGCCCAUCCACAGGAUUGCUCAUGUCCUGUGGUGAAGGGCAGAUAGGAAAGUGACUCACCUCACCUACGGCAGUGCUUCUGACUCACAUGAGAAUCACCUGGGAGCUUUUAAAAACUAUGGAUGCCGGGGCCUCAUGCCAGACAUUCUGAUGGGAUCUGUCUGGAGUGGGGGCCUGGGUGCAAGUAUAUUUUAAAAGGUCCCCAGGUACUUUGUAUAUGCAGCCAGGGCUGAGAACCACUGAUGCAGCCCUACAGAUUUUAUAUUUCAACAGACAUUUGUAAGACAAACAACUACCGUGAUGAUCUUUAAAUGAUCUUUUCAGAAGCACAUCAGAGCCCCAUUAUAGCUGCUUCUAAAGGAUGCUAGUGAAUAGGGGAUUUUGACUGUGAUAUUAAUUUGCCUCCUUAGUGCUCUCCUUUGAUCAGAAGCUACUCUAUUUUGGGACCACGGAGCACAUCUGUUGGGACCCGUGAGAAUCUCGAGGGGGAAGAAAAGAGUGUCUGGUGGAGCUAGACUAGGAGAGUAGCAGUACACAGGCUCAGCAGUAAAUUCACAGCAUUUUACAAGAAGAUGAAAAGUGAAAAUCAUAUGAAAAGUAGUCAUCGUACACUAGCAGCAACCAACUCUGCAACUUAAUGGCCAACUCCUUAGAGCCAGAGGUAACAAAAAGAAGAUUGGACGAAGCAGGACACAUACAAAGCCCUGGAUUCCAAUCCAGCCUCGCCACUGGCCCGCUCUGUGGUUCUGGGCACAUGUCACAGCUCUGGAACUUUGCUUGCCUGUCUGCAACCUGAGUUGGUAGGGCUGUCUCUGACACCCUUUGAUUUAUGUUGUCCCAAAACACAAAAACGUGUGAACCCAGCAAUACAGGCUUAGGCAGCCACCCAAAGAGAUGGGUUUUGUUUGCUGGCUAAGAUUAGGCAGCAAAUAACCUUUUUGUCACAACGCCUGGCAAGGAUGAAAACAUUUAAGCGAAAGACGUGAAAUGGAAGAAUUUGUGCCGUGUGUGUGGCUAAGUUCGCACGUCAGUGUGUGUGCAGAAGGUUAGAGCAAGGGGAAGAGCCACACCACUAGUCCAAGCUGCUUAAGGAUGUGUACCAUCCUGAUUGAUAAUAAAGAGAAUCACAGAAAGUGUGUGUGUGUGUGUGUGUGUGUGUGUGUGUGUGUGUGGCAGGAGGAGCAGAGUGGAGGAUUAGUAGGGGAAAAACCAUUUAUCUCAUCAUAGGUACACUUUCACUUGCUAUUUUGGUAAAUUUCCUAGGGUGUGAUAUAUUUUUCACACAUGUUUGUAAUGUGACUGACUAUUGUCACCAUCUCCUGCUGUGUCACAAUUGUUCCUAACUCAAGGACAUUCUCUAUUCAAAUUGUAAAGUUAUCCCUGAGCACGUUGUGUUAUUAUGUUGCUAAGCUCUUGGCCUUAUUUUAUUUUAAAUGAAUCUAAUGCAGUAGCUGACAUGUUUGUUAUACAGAUAUUAUAUUUAAUAUGCACUUCAUGUGUAUUAAAAGUGUGUAAUACAAAAUAUUUCUGACUUUACAUUAUAGCAUUGAUGACUCUGCAUUCUAAAAUUGGUAGCAUGCUUCUUGAAUCAUAUAAGGAAUAUUUUCUAGAAAGAAGUAAAUUACUUAAGGUUUGGAUGGGCGAAAAAAGUAGUUCGCACUUUCUUUAAUACUUUUCAUUAAAAGAAGUUUUUGUUCAUAUGUAGUUAUUGCAAGAUGAACGUGCUGGUUCCUGGUAAUGUUCUCAUUCCUGCACCCCGCAGCCCCGCCCAUCUCAUCAAUGCGUAUUUAUUUAGUAGCUAAAAGCAUCAUCCUCAAUUGAAUGGAGGGUGUUUCAGAUCAAGGCACUGGUUAUCUAAUAAUCAAAAGGAUGGUUGACUUUCCUACUGUGCCAUCCUAAAAAAAAAAAAAAUCAGUGCAUAUUUUGGAGAUUAGAGUGAUCCAUCAUGCAUAGAAACUCUUCAUUAUUACUCUACAAACUUCUAAAAAAUAGGUGUUGUGGAUCCAGAAAGAAAUGUGUUGUAGACUAAGAAUUGCAUCUGAGUGUAAAAGAAAAAAAAAAUAAGUCUGUUCUCUUGUAACACUGUUUAAGAUUUAUAUAGAAUUAAGCUUUUUCCUUUGUUUGAAGAGAACAAUAGCACAACUCUCUGUUGGGGAUGAUUUAUCUCUUGCUAAACCGCCCUAACUGUUUAUGACAGCAAAAAGACAGGUAUCAUUAACCUUAGGUGUUGACAAUUUAGAAUUCAUGAGAAUGAGUUGGAAACACGAUAGACGGGUCCCACCCCUGAGUUUGUGGAAAGCAGAUGAAUCCUAUGAACUAUUGCCACUGAAGCCUUUCGUUACCACAAAAGAGUUCCCCUCAAAUUUUCAUAGAGGGUAUUUGGUUUUUAAAUGUCCCUUCUCUCUGAAGUGGAAGUGGAAACUGUUUUUAGGAAAAAUGGAUCUAUAUUGCAAUCCAAGUAUUUGCCAAGGUCCUAGAAUCAAGUUUAUUUGUAAAUCCAUAAUUUACUGAACCAUUUUACCUUUCUUGUAAGUGAUUCAUGUAUAAAUUAGUGAUGAAUUCCUGAUUAAUUUAUUUUUGCUGCUGUUCUUGGAUUUUAAAAGCUUGCAUUCCUCAAGAUCACCCUCUUCAUAAAUACCUUCAAUAAAUUUCAGCACAGAACGAUGGCUCACGCUCUUUUCUCCUUUACAGGAUGGUCUAAUCGGGCAUUCUAAGGCAAAUCAGAAUUCGGUGACCCCAAAAAUGUACCAGAUUAAAACCUACCAAUAAAAAAUAAGGUGUUGCUGGAGAAAAUACUCUGCAGCUCUUUUUUGCUUUAGGCAUACAUAACAACAACAUGAAUUUAGGGUAGGAUCUGGUCUUAGUGCAGCAUGCAUUAAUUCACAUUUUGAGGUCUUUUACAUAUAUUCAUUUUCCUAUGGGCCUAUUGCUGUACUACAUUAGAUCUACUUAAAAUCUAUUGAGAGUAUUGAUUUUUUUUUCUUCAGAAAAAUCAACGCAGUGAGAUGGUCUCUCUCCUCUUAUAAAGCCCAUUAGAGAAAGCCAGAAUUGUGUUGACAUAAAAGAAGAAUGCUUCCUAAUGUACAUGACUUAUUGCCGUGGUUCAGAGGACUCAGCUCUCAUUCAAAUCUAAUUAACCGAUUUUGUCCAGCUUGUGCUCCAGUCUCUGCAAGGUGAUCACA
This is a long non-coding RNA of Acinonyx jubatus (cheetah), 3398 nucleotides long. RefSeq lists it as uncharacterized. Lineage: Eukaryota; Metazoa; Chordata; Mammalia; Carnivora; Felidae. The transcript has 3 exons. The record is from RefSeq and is a predicted model, not a curated record.